RNAcentral lists this ribosomal RNA (292 nucleotides) under uncultured bacterium. RNAcentral describes it as "partial 16S ribosomal RNA". It matches the Rfam family "Bacterial small subunit ribosomal RNA", at positions 505 to 796 of the family's 1533-position model. The record is from RNAcentral.
GUGUCAGCAGCCGCGGUAAUACAGAGGGGGCAAGCGUUGUUCGGAAUUACUGGGCGUAAAGGGCGCGUAGGCGGCCCUCUAAGUCAGACGUGAAAUCCCUCGGCUCAACCGGGGAACUGCGUCUGAGACUGGAAGGCUUGAAUUCGGGAGAGGGAUGUGGAAUUCCAGGUGUAGCGGUGAAAUGCGUAGAUAUCUGGAGGAACACCGGUGGCGAAGGCGGCAUCCUGGACCGAGAUUGACGCUGAUGCGCGAAAGCCAGGGGAGCAAACGGGAUUAGAUACCCGGGUAGUCC